UUCCAGUGUUUGGCACCAGGUGGCAAAAUAGUAGACCAGCAUUCCCAAUAGGACAAGGUUUAAGGGAUUUGGUACAUAAUGCAGAGGUCGCGGAGCCCUAGGGGCCACAGGGGCAAUAACCCCAUCAGAAAUCGACCAAGGAGCAGCAAGUUUUUCGACGAUACAGAUGCUGUGGGAUUUGAAACAAAUUCUUCUAUCUUACAUCAAAGUUUGCACCUCGUUUCAAGAAUCGUGUUCCAGCGUACUUAUUGCUUCUUCUAGCAAUGAUUGUUAUGUACAUCGAUCUACCAAAUACGCUGACAUUCGAUUGACCGAUAAAUCCAUGUGUCACAUACAAAAUCCAGUCGCUGUGCAAUUCUUUUUCGAUGGGAGAAAGCAAAUGUGAAUUCCAAACGAAACGUCGAUGGGGAUUGCUUCGAACUCCAUAAUCAAUACAUCUUUCUCCAUACCUGUAAAAUGCUUGGAUAAUCAAAGAUCUUUUCCCUAGCCUCCCUAACUUUUUUAUCUUUUUAUAUAUUUGUAUUUAUUCAUGUGUGAAAAAAAAAUCAAAAUUUUACAACCCAAAAUGCAAUAUUUUACGUUGAGCUAUAACAGCUUUUAAUUUCUUUCACAGACAAAUAAAUAAAAAUACAUGGAUAAAAAUGUGUAAAAAGAUCAAAAAAGUUUUGAGUACAAUGUGAAAUUGUU
Molecule: long non-coding RNA, 687 nt
Organism: Belonocnema kinseyi
Lineage: Eukaryota; Metazoa; Arthropoda; Insecta; Hymenoptera; Cynipidae
Exons: 3
Source: RefSeq, a predicted model, not a curated record